GCGACUCGACAAGGCACCGAAAAAGCUGAGGGCUUGAAAUUGUCGCAAGUCUCGCGUUUUAAACAUUUAUCCUGACGUUCUCCCCCAAAAUCCCACCUUCCAUCUCUCUUUCCCGUUCUUUACUGCUUCAUCUUCUAGCCACCUCUCUUCAUCGACGCCCAUCUUCACUGACACCACUUUCGCCGCCGUUCGUGUUCGCCGCCGCCGCCCCCACCCAGUUAAUGGCAGCUCCGACGAUGACAAUGUGUGAUUAGCUGUCUUCCCUGUACAGGUAUUGUUAUGGAAACUCCUUUUUAUCACCGACCAUCUUCGUCUACUGAUUCUACAAUUUAUAUUGCUUGUUUGUUCUGAGUUGCAAUUUGAUUUUUGGAUUUUUUUUUUCUUAAGACAAUUCUUGCGAAGUGAAUGUUGACCAGGUUUAAAUAGAUCGAUAUUUAUUUUCUAUGAAAACCCUGAUAUAAUAUCUCCUGAAAACGAAUUCAAUUAUUUGAAGAACGCAGUGCAAUUAGCUUCUGUGUUUUUCACAUGAAGGAACCUAUUUUAACUUCGUUAUUGUUCUAAGAGUUUGCCAUUUUGUGCAAAUCGGAAAGCAACUACCAAAUAGUGAUAAUGCAUUCAUACUAAUGGAUAAUGAUUUUCUUCCAUCUUGAGCUCUAUCUUAUGUUAGUUGGGGAAAAUUGAUGUGAAUAAUUUGUUAAGUGCUGUGAAAUUAAGGAGAGAGAGGCCUCUUUGUUUAAUGACAGAAUAUAAGGAAGCUGUUUGGAGUAGUUAUAUGUCAAUUACUAAACAGGACACCUCUAUUUUGAAUAGGCUUGUUGAUGUUGGAGUGUCUCCAAGGGUAGAAGAGUCAAAAAUUUUAGCCCCUUUUGGACCAUAUUUUAGGGUUAAUACACCUUCGAUUGGAAUUGGAUCAUCUCCUUUUUUUGAUCCUUAAAUGAAGGUAAGUGUGUUUGUUUUGGUUUACUCUUUAGAUUUAUUUUUAAAUUGGUAUUCAUUUUUCUUGGAAGAUGUUGAUUAAAAUCUACCUCUUUGUUUUUAUAAGCAUUGUAACAUAUUGGCGAGGUGAGAUUCAUUGUGGUCCUUAUAAGGGUAUUUUAGGUAUAUUAUAUGAUUAUUAAUCAUGUGUCAAGUGUCUAAGGGUUUGCAUUUUUUUUGGGAUUUAUGGAAUUAUCAAUAAUGAAGUAUAAUUAAGAAAAUGCAACUUAUUUAGAGUGUUUAUGAAGUCUAAUAGAGACAGGAAUUAGGAUCCCAUGGGAACUUAUAUUUAUUUUUAAUUUAUGGAUAAAAUUAUUGCUAUACUUUUAAUGCUUUAAUCUAAGGGAAAUUGACUUAUUAAGUUAAUUAACUUUUCGGUUUGUUCACAUCUAGGGAACUAUUUUUUUCUGUAUAUAUCUAGGUAACAAACUUUUUGAAAGUGUUUACAUAUGACUAGAAGUAGCAAAAAUUGAUACGACAUGAAACCCAACACGAAAUAAACGAGUUUGGGUAAGAUAUUUCAACCCGUUUAAAUAAACGGGUUGACACGACACGACACGAAAAUUAAAUGGGAAAAGUUAGGGUUGAGAAUUUCAACUCGAAAAUGACCCGUUUAUUUAUAUGCAAGUUUUUUGAAUUAUUUAAAUAAACUGAAAGACACAAAAUCAAAAGCAUAAGUAAAAGAAAACCUUCGAAUUGAAUUGUUUUGUAAUGUUGAAACGACUUAGCCGUCUAGAUCAAGAUUUCAUUUCAGUUUUUUCAUUCUCUCCCAAACUACCCAGUCUCUUUCGCCACUCUCACAUCCUCAUGAUCUUGUCGUCCGUCUUCCCAACUCUCACUCUUUUAAUUUUGUCAUCUAAACUUGCUAUGGUUUCAUCUAUUCUGCCUCAAAACAAUUAGUUUUUCAUUUCCGCCUACCAAACUCCUACUAUUUCAACAUGCUUAAUAUUUUUAACUUUACAAGACACGACAUAUUUCAAGGUAUAGCCCUAACCCGAAACCCGAAACCCGACACGAACUCGACACGAAAAUAAACUAGUUGACACGACACAACACGUUAAUUAAAUGGGUUGGGUUAGGGUCAAGCACUUUCAACCCAUUUAGUGUUUCGACACGACACGAUACGAACCCGACACGACACGACACGAUUGCCACCUCUACAUAUGACCAUUAUGACUAGAUGUAACCUGAUACAGCUGUUCAUAUUGGUCAUAUGUUAACACUUCAAAACGUUUGUUAUCUAGAUCUGUACAAAAAAAAAUAGAAACUGAAAAGUUAAUUACCUUAAUAAGUCAAUUUCCGUUAAUCUAAAGCAAAUAAUGUUAAUGUUAUGCUAGGAUUCUACAAGAUUUUUUUUUUCUUAUUUGCACAAAACUCUUAAUAAUGUAUUAUUUACCUUUGGUUAUAUAAUCUGUCACAAUUGUUAUAAAACCAUAAUAACCUUUUAUUAUUUUCUAUAUUAAUAAUACUGAUGAUUAUAAUGUGUUCUUUUUCUGUAGAAUUCUGAAAGCUCGGAAGCAACAUUGCAUAAAACUCAAAGGAGAUUUGUAGGUAGUUUUUAAUGUUCCUAGAAAAGACAUGCAACAUCUACUCCUUAUGAAUCCAGAAAGAGCCACUCUUUUACAACAACAAGCAUCAAUAAAUAAAUAAAAUAAAAUAAAAAUAAUCUUCGACUCAUGUAACGUGUACUAUGUAGUAGUGAUUGAGAUAUGCAUAUAUAACGAAUUUGUGUUCUAGAAUGAGAUGAUAAUGAUAUAUUCUUUAAACUGUGUUCGUAACAUUUUCAAUUUUCAAUUUUCAAUUUUAAAAUCUUGAUUUCAUG
RNAcentral lists this long non-coding RNA (2797 nucleotides) under Lactuca sativa (garden lettuce). Its description in RNAcentral is "long non-coding RNA (LSAT_LNC004054)". Lineage: Eukaryota; Viridiplantae; Streptophyta; Magnoliopsida; Asterales; Asteraceae. The record is from RNAcentral.